Molecule: long non-coding RNA, 239 nt
Filed under: Hordeum vulgare
Lineage: Eukaryota; Viridiplantae; Streptophyta; Magnoliopsida; Poales; Poaceae
Description: long non-coding RNA (HVUL_LNC012010)
Source: RNAcentral
ACAUUUAAUUAGUUGUUAAACAGAAAAAAAAAAAUAGGUUCACGUGAUUCUACGCGUCGAGACAAGCAAUUUACACAUAGAGAACAUCUCCAACGGAGCUACGGUUCAAAAGAUACAAGCACCACAAGAUAUGAUGGCAUGAAUGCAAUAUGUGUACAACGACGGUCACGAGCACUUCAAAACAUACAACCAGCAAGAGAAAAUGAAAUUACACGAGAUUCUAAGAAAGUUUCAUAUAG